RNAcentral lists this ribosomal RNA (203 nucleotides) under uncultured bacterium. RNAcentral's name for it is "partial 16S ribosomal RNA". It matches the Rfam family "Bacterial small subunit ribosomal RNA", at positions 1297 to 1500 of the family's 1533-position model. The record is from RNAcentral.
ACUGUAGGCUGCAACUCGCCUACACGAAGUCGGAAUCGCUAGUAAUCGCGGAUCAGCAUGCCGCGGUGAAUACGUUCCCGGGCCUUGUACACACCGCCCGUCACACCAUGAGAGUUGGGAAUACCCGAAGCCUGUGAGCUAACUUAUAGAGGCAGCAGUCGAAGGUAGAAUCAAUGAUUGGGGUGAAGUCGUAACAAGGUACC